GGGAAUAUUGGACAAUGGGCGAAAGCCUAAUCCAGCAAUGCCGCGUGUGUGAAGAAGGUCUUCGGAUUGUAAAGCACUUUCGACGGGGACGAUGAUGACGGUACCCGUAGAAGAAGCCCCGGCUAACUUCGUGCCAG
This 137-nucleotide ribosomal RNA is filed under the name uncultured bacterium. RNAcentral's name for it is "partial 16S ribosomal RNA". It matches the Rfam family "Bacterial small subunit ribosomal RNA", at positions 357 to 511 of the family's 1533-position model. The record is from RNAcentral.